RNAcentral lists this ribosomal RNA (374 nucleotides) under uncultured Halanaerobium sp. RNAcentral's name for it is "bacterial SSU rRNA". It matches the Rfam family "Bacterial small subunit ribosomal RNA", at positions 49 to 397 of the family's 1533-position model. Lineage: Bacteria; Bacillati; Bacillota; Clostridia; Halanaerobiales; Halanaerobiaceae. The record is from RNAcentral.
GAACACAAGCAAAUCGAACGGUCGACCUCGACAAAAACCUUCGGGAAGAAGACGAGAUCUAGAUAGUGGCGGACGGGUGAGUAACACGUGAAUAAUUUGUCCUCAAGUUUGGGAUAACCUGGCGAAAGUCGGGAUAAUCCGAGGUAAGCUGAGAGUGUGGCAUCACACAAUCAGAAAAGGUGGCUUUCCCAUCGUUUGAGGAGGAGUUCGCGGUAGAUUAGCUAGCUGGUGAGGUAAUGGCUCACCAGGGCAAUAAUCUAUAGCUGGUCUGAGAGGACGAUCAGUCACACUGGAACUGAGACACGGUCCAGACUCCUACGGGAGGCAGCAGUGGGGAAUCUUCCACAAUGGGCGAAACCCCGACCGAGCAACGC